Long non-coding RNA from Neofelis nebulosa (Clouded leopard), 2118 nucleotides. RefSeq lists it as uncharacterized. The record is from RefSeq and is a predicted model, not a curated record. NCBI's taxonomy places the organism in Eukaryota, Metazoa, Chordata, Mammalia, Carnivora, Felidae. The transcript is spliced from 4 exons.
GUGCCAGAGUAUCUGCUUCCCUACAUCCUCAGCAAAACUUGAUGUGUUUCGAUAAAAUCAAGGUAGUCGACCUUGGCUAUCACGCUUAAAGCUGCACGAAUUACCACUUGUACAUAUUUGAUGAUAUUGUGCCAUUAUCAAAAUAUGAGUAAGGUGUGUACAUGAAGAGUUGAAAACACAUCACAAAACAGUGAACAUUUGGCAACAGGAAAGGAGAAAAGGAGACAUACAUUGGAAACCAACAUGCCACAUCUUGCCUAUCAGCUUAAGCUCUAAACUAAAUUGCCGCUACAACUUAGCCAAGAUAUUUUGUUGUUACAUGAACUUCUCAAGGAAAAUUUCUACAAGCGGAAGUUGAGAAAUUUGCAGUAUUUUCCCUCGAAUCAAAUGUCAAAGCAUAUCUGGAGAGACCCAAAACAACAAGGUUUCUUGAAGGCCAAUCUGCCUUGAACCACGCAUCGGAAUGAAACUAAAUUGAUUUCCUUAUAUCAAGUUGAGCAGUAGCUUGGUAAGCACGAUAGUACAACCUCAGUAGAUUGUAUAAUGACUGCAUUCUAAUCUCAGAAGCAAAUACAGUUGCAGGAGAAAAAAUCAAAUGGAGAUAAAGAAAAGACCUUAAGACUCCACGAUUUUGUAAAGGAGGAAAAUGUUGGAGAUUUUGACCUACACCCGUUGAAACAAAAUAUCACCUGGACCCGUUUUGAACCUCAUCAUACGUAUGACUCCUAAACUUUUUAUGUAAUCAGGUUAGCACGAAUGCAAAGCGUUUAACAUGUUCCGAUGCAAAACCAGAAGACGAAUACCAAUUACUCUUAACAUCCGCCCAUUAACAUACCGUAAAUGAUUUACUUGGGAAUCUAUUUCAAUAAAGUUCACCUUCAGAAAGUGGCAAUCAGAAAAGCUUCACGAAAACCAGACUUGUUUUCACAUCGAAACUGCUGUGCUUUUUCAUUUGGAGAAAUCACUGACUUGCUCUAAAUAGAGUGGGCUCUUUGUUGUUGUUAUUAUAAGCUUUCCUUGGCCUAGAAUUUUCCUGUUUAUUCACUAUGAGGAAGAGCGUGCUUUGUGUUUCUAACAUUGGAGUGGUGGUUCCUAACUCUGUAGGCGUAUUGAAGGUAGUGAUGUUCAUCAUAAUCACCACAAUGAGCUGUGACCCCCGAAGAGGUGAUCUCCAGUGGUCUGUAUCUGGGGCUUUCCGGAGAAGCACAACUGGGCACAGCUGUGCAUUAGAAUAAAUUAAGGGCUUCUUAAUUACAUUCAUAUUUUCUCCCUGAACUCUUAAGUCCAUCAUUUCUCACCAUUUUUGCCAUGAGGACCCUUUGCCCCUGCAAAACUUUUUAACAGAGACAAACAUAUUUGAGAGGAUAGUUAGAAAGUCAGUCUUUACGUAACUCAUGCCACCCACAGCCAGCUGCAUGGCCCUGGCUGAGUUGGUGAACUUUGUUUCCCUUAUUUGUAAAAGGGGGACAACAGGAUAGACCUGUAGGUUUAUAUGCAUGAUAACGAUUACGUACAAUGGGGUCUCUAAAUGCUUAGCAGUGUGCCUAGCACGUUAGGCGCUCAGUAGGUAUUCGUGGUGGUGAAGGGUGAUAUUUGGCAGCCGUUUGACCAAACCUUCAUCUGGCUCCUACCUACUGGAACCCACCAGUCAAAAGUCUUUACCCUUUGCUUUACAGUCUCUUGCUGUACAACUGAGAGAUCAGUCGGGCUAUUCAUUUUUUAAUAUGAGACUCUGAUGAUAUCACAAAGUCUUUGCUUUAAUUUUUUAUUCCAGUUUAACAACAGGAACAAAGAUAAAUGACAUUGUAUUCGCAGACAUUGGAUUUUUGAAAGAUUUGACUUUUGAACGUACGUGAAGUAAUUUCUGUAUAAAUAGAUUCUUGAGUGUUAUGCAUUUUCCGAAAGAAAUAGAGUGGUUCUGUUUGUUUGCUUACUUGCUUUGCCAUUUUUUAAAAAGAUUUGGAAGUACAUAUAUAAACAUCUUGAAUUGUGCUGCUUAAAAUAAGCAUUUGGGGCCAAAGAGCCCGGGAUAACAGUGACCAGCAUAAGAACAGGGUGAAUCUGGGGAAUUUCUGAGAACCUGGUGGCCCAGGAAUGUCUGAAUGUUCCAAACAGAGA